GACCGUGUGGCCUAAUAGAUAAGGUGUUUGACUUUGGAUCAGAAGACCGAGGGUUAAAGUCCCUUCGCGGUCA
Molecule: transfer RNA, 73 nt
Filed under: Scleropages formosus (Asian bonytongue)
Lineage: Eukaryota; Metazoa; Chordata; Actinopteri; Osteoglossiformes; Osteoglossidae
Rfam family: tRNA
About the family: Transfer RNA (tRNA) molecules are approximately 80 nucleotides in length. Their secondary structure includes four short double-helical elements and three loops (D, anti-codon, and T loops). Further hydrogen bonds mediate the characteristic L-shaped molecular structure. tRNAs have two regions of fundamental functional importance: the anti-codon, which is responsible for specific mRNA codon recognition, and the 3' end, to which the tRNAs corresponding amino acid is attached (by aminoacyl-tRNA synthetases). tRNAs cope with the degeneracy of the genetic code in two manners: having more than one tRNA (with a specific anti-codon) for a particular amino acid; and 'wobble' base-pairing, i.e. permitting non-standard base-pairing at the 3rd anti-codon position.
Source: Rfam by way of RNAcentral